UGUUUUUGUAGUUGAUGUACAACGGUGGUUUUUCGGGCCGCAGGACUCUUAGAAGAGUGAAAACU
Molecule: transfer RNA, 65 nt
Filed under: Trimeresurus stejnegeri stejnegeri
Lineage: Eukaryota; Metazoa; Chordata; Lepidosauria; Squamata; Viperidae
Description: tRNA-Glu
Source: RNAcentral